GACGAACGCUGGCGGCGUGCUUAACACAUGCAAGUCGAACGGAAAGGCCCUGCUUGCAGGGUACUCGAGUGGCGAACGGGUGAGUAACACGUGGGUGAUCUGCCCUGCACUUCGGGAUAAGCCUGGGAAACUGGGUCUAAUACCGGAUAGGAGCCAUUUUUAGUGUGAUGGUUGGAAAGUUUUUUCGGUGUAGGAUGAGCUCGCGGCCUAUCAGCUUGUUGGUGGGGUAAUGGCCUACCAAGGCGGCGACGGGUAGCCGGCCUGAGAGGGUGGACGGCCACAUUGGGACUGAGAUACGGCCCAGACUCCUACGGGAGGCAGCAGUGGGGAAUAUUGCACAAUGGGCGCAAGCCUGAUGCAGCGACGCCGCGUGGGGGAUGACGGCCUUCGGGUUGUAAACUCCUUUCGCUAGGGACGAAGCUUUUUGUGACGGUACCU
This 438-nucleotide ribosomal RNA is filed under the name uncultured bacterium. RNAcentral's name for it is "bacterial SSU rRNA". It matches the Rfam family "Bacterial small subunit ribosomal RNA", at positions 28 to 480 of the family's 1533-position model. The record is from RNAcentral.